CCCUUUUUUUAGCUCCAGAGUCAAACCAGACAUGUCCAAGAGAUCUGAUCCCCUAUUUGGAUGAUUUGUCUUAAUUGAGAUCUUUUGCAUGAGUUGUUGUCAUCAAGAACUUAAUGAUUAAGGUCCUCUUAGAGAUUACUGAUUACCUGAGGUCCAAAGAGUCACACCAAGCAAAGAGGGUUGACAAGGGUAUGAGGCAGCCCACU
RNAcentral lists this long non-coding RNA (206 nucleotides) under Elaeis guineensis (African oil palm). RNAcentral describes it as "long non-coding RNA (EGUI_LNC034469)". Lineage: Eukaryota; Viridiplantae; Streptophyta; Magnoliopsida; Arecales; Arecaceae. The record is from RNAcentral.